UGUGUACAAUAUGAGCACCAUGGUUUCAUAAGUUGGUAGCUAAGUAUUGAAACUGACUGAUGAUGUUAUUUAUGUUUGAAUUAUAAGGUCAUGAAAUCCCAGAACCGGAAGAGAUCUUUAAAAUCAUCUAGUCCAACCAGUCAUUCACUGCUUGAAUUUUUCUUAUUAUUCACUUGACCAUUGCUGAUAUUUGACUAUUUUUUGACUUACAAACACAGCAUUUUUAUACAGUUCAACCUAAUACAAACAUUUAUUAAGUUUGGUGCUGGGCCAGGACCACAUAAGAUGGAUUAGUCAAGACAACCCUACCCAACUCUUUAUACAGGGGAGAAAUGUGAAACCAAAUAAUUAUAACAUAGUGACUAUUUGUAGAAAUAAAAUGGCUAAAGUGGCCUCACCUAUCCAAAAUGAACAGGCUUGGUGCUGAGUUGAGUGGUCAAAUUGUGUGAUCUAAUGCAACAGUUCAAAACUCCAUCAAACUCUAUGAGGCUAUUCGUAACCAAUGAGGGAUUCACUACAGAGACAUGAAUUUCGGCCACUUUCUAGCUUGAGCUCAUGGCUAAAUAGUGAAGCAUUUACUCGUGCUUCUCCAGCUUCUUGGAGAACUCACUCAUGCUGCAGGAAAAGAUUACAAUUUUACCAGUCACUUCAGUCUCUAUCCCAAAAGCUGUGUUUCCCAUAGCACAUGGCUAUGGGUUCAUAGACAUUGAAGGUUAAGUAGAAAUUACUCUUAGAAGCAACUUCUAUUGACCACGAUCCCACCUGUUAGAAAUAGGUCCUAACUGUGUAAAUGAUGAAAGGACUAUCUUUCCUUGGUAUUUAAUUCUAUUGGCUUCAGUUAGUCACUUGAAACUGCACAAGAUGGAGAUGAAUUCCUUAAUGUUCUUAUUUCAGCACAUAACAUACACAGUGCUAGGCUGGCAUCAGAAAAUAGAUAUGCUAUGGCCCCUGUCCUCAAGUUAUGCUAAAGUCCUCUUAAGUCUAAAUACUUUAAAAAGGUUUGAUGAGUGUAAUAUAUUCAUCCAUCCAUCCAUCAUUUAUGAAGCACUGACUAACGUCAGGCAUUUUCCUGAACUCUGGGAUAAGUGGGAAAUAAGACAAAGUCCCUGCUGCCACCCCACCCUUACCAUGUAUAUAUUUAUUGGAACAAUAUACUGAAUUUUCAAAAGGACAUUCCACUUAUGUGCUUUUUUCAUUUGUUUCAGCAACCGGAGAAAACUGUAUCACUCAGAAUCUGAGUGGUGGCAGAGACUAUAACUGCCUUGUUCGCUGCUAUAUCUGCAACGCUAAAAGUAUACUGUCUGCCACAUACAACUGGAGAGCCUGUAUCACUCAGAAUCUGAGAGGCAGCUCCUGACUUGAAAAUGAUCAUUGUGUGUAAUGUAGAUCGAGUCUUGCUCUGUCACCCAGGCUGGAGUGCAGUGGUGUGAUCUGCAGCCUCAAAAUCCUGGACCAAAGCAAUCCUCCCACCUUAGCCUCCCAAGUAGUUGGGAUUACAGAAGUGAGCUACUAUGACCAGCUUCAAAUUUCUUUAAUAGCUUAAACCUGUCCAAGCAAGAUGAGAAACAUAACACCUAGUCUAUUAUCUCACUGGUUCCAUGAUUUUAUGAGUCAGAGCGAACUGAAGUUUGGCUCAAAUCAAAGUUUAUGUUAUUGCUCCUGCAUUCUUCUUUUGAAUCAUAAUAAAAAUCUCAUCCAACAAGGAAGCUGAGGUUCAGAGUUAAUGAUGAGAGCAUAUGGAAUUUGAAUCCAGGUUAAGACAACUUCAAAGCUGGUGCCAUUUUCCACUACCCAGCACAGUCACUGGUAAAGGUAUCCUUCCAGACAGAAUGUGUUCUAGUUACGGGUAUGCAUUUUCUUUCCUGAAAAAGUAAACCCUCUAUCUGUGAAAUAACUGCUAAAUCUUCUUGUGUGGUUUUUAUAUACUAAUUAAUCUCUUAACAACCUAAUACAUGUUUUUGUUAUAAAUAACCUAAUAUUCAUUUUGUGAAAUGCAGCAAAAAGGAUAAAAUGGUCAUUUCCUUUCAUUAAGAUACUUCAUUUUCUCUUAUCAUUCUCUAUAAAUAUAAGAAAUUAAUAAAAGUGAUUUACUAUUAAUAAAAUCUUAAAAAUAAACACAAAUAUCUUGCUCACUAA
Molecule: long non-coding RNA, 2136 nt
Filed under: Homo sapiens (human)
Lineage: Eukaryota; Metazoa; Chordata; Mammalia; Primates; Hominidae
Description: HSALNT0296750
Source: RNAcentral